Mytilus californianus (California mussel) is the source of this 619-nucleotide long non-coding RNA. RefSeq lists it as uncharacterized. The record is from RefSeq and is a predicted model, not a curated record. The transcript has 2 exons. Lineage: Eukaryota; Metazoa; Mollusca; Bivalvia; Mytilida; Mytilidae.
CAGUCAUAACAAUACGCUGACAAGUAUAAAGUAUCAGUAAUAUUUUACCGUUUUCAAAUAUUUGGAAAUCUUAAGAGAUAUGGCAGUGCGGAUGGAAGUUUAUAGGCUUUUAAGAACAGACGAGAAUCCAGCGAAUGGCCUCUCUGCCAAAGCUCCCAAAAUUCCAAGUUCAAUAGUGCGUCAUGUUGCAUAUGGAUCCAACGGCCAAUCCCGCUUUAUAUCGGCCUGUGGUUCUCUAGAAUAUGCUAUUAACUUUAGAGCAAACAAUCAACAAGAUAAUGGACUGAUUGUUAAGAUCAGUAUUACUGAGGGAAUGACAUUUUAUGACCUACGUACUUUUGGACAAAGACAACAGAUUUUGCUGUCAGAAAACGUGAUUCAUCCACAAGAAACCAUAGACAGGUUCCAUAAUUUCGCUGGAGCGUUUCAAGAAAUUCUAAUAGAAGACCGUGUUCCUUCCGAGAACAUCGUGGUCUUGUAUGUUUAGAUAUGAUAUAGCAUUGAGCGCCUGAAAGACUAUUUAAAGCUAGUGUUUCAUGAGAAGAUAGAGAUUUUUGAUAUUUUUUUAAGAUUGAAUUAUUUCCGUUUGUACAGUUAAUGAAAUAAAGUUUAGAAAUUA